GCCGAACGUGUAGAGGAAACACAGAAUGAAGACUAUGUGAACGUGAACACGUUUGAUGGUGGAUGGACACAAGAUGAAGGUUCCAGAGGUGAAACAGAUGCAGAAGAAGUCGUGUAUACAACUGUCAUCUUCCACAACAAAACAAAACCCACAAUGUGAGACCUGACUGUUGUGUUUAAUAACAGAGUUUGACAUUACAGGAACAAAUACUGAUAAACUGUAUGACUUACAGAGAGCAGCAGCACUCAGAAGACAAAGCUGUGAUUUACAGUUCAGUGUGCAGGAAUCAGCAUUUGAAUCAUUCUUAUACUGAACCCUCAUGAUUUGACUGCAGACACUGCAGUGUUAUUGUUCA
Long non-coding RNA from Austrofundulus limnaeus, 355 nucleotides. RefSeq lists it as uncharacterized. Lineage: Eukaryota; Metazoa; Chordata; Actinopteri; Cyprinodontiformes; Rivulidae. The record is from RefSeq and is a predicted model, not a curated record. The transcript is spliced from 3 exons.